CUUCUCUUGAAAAAUUGGAGAUCUGACAACAUUAGAUCUGCAUCCACAUGUGGCACCAAUAUCUGGAACUGAGUAGCAGCUGCUCACUUCAGACAAACCAUGUUCUCUCCAGUUUGACAAAGUCCCUAUCACCCCAUAUUUUAUGCCACACCUACUUCACUCAUUUGCUCUUCCACCCUGGCUCCUUGAGGCAUUUGACUUUUCUUUCAUUGCUUGUGGUCGUUGUAUUAAGUUUCCUCGCUUGUGGUAUUACCUGUUAAAGUUUCCAAAAUUUUCUUUUCAUUAAAUAAUAGCAUUGCAAAGACUAUGCCCAAUGAUACUGGACAAAGAAUUAUUGAAAAGAAUAAAAGUCAGAAUGCAACCAAAAUGUCCAAAAAUAGGUGAUUGUUUAAAUUGUAUUUUAUGCUGGUAUAUCCUUAGAAUAGAAUACCAUGUAGGAUUAAAAAUGUUUAUCUUGAAAGAAUGAAUGCAGAUUACUAAACUAUGUAUACAUCAAGAUUCCUAUGUUGUAGGAGAAGAAUAUUCAUACAUAUAGAAAAAGAGCUAAAGUGAUGUGUCAAAGCAGUAUCAGAAAAAUAUGUACAUAUACAAAAAAUAUAAACAAAUAAGUGAAUAAAAAGAACUACUGUUGUAGAUUAACUUGGAGAUACAAUUGCCAAACCACCAGUGAAGAGUUACUAUAAGACAGGAGGUGGGCAAAUGUGAUUAGAUGGAUCUGCAGCCAACUGAUCAAUUAACCAAUAAUCAUUAGAUUGAUUGCUUUAUGUCAACUUAGAAGGAAGCUCUUAGUGUCAGGAGAAAAGACCCUCCUUGACUUAUCCUAGUCAAUAUUUUUCUGAAGACUGCACCAUGCAGGGACAUGGCUCACCCUGGUUUCUGACAAAGGACUACACCUGAAGUGAGCUACAGAAGAAGGACAGAUUCUAUAAUUCGAAAACAAGAUUCUCUCAAGUGGUUUUGCACAGAUUAUUACUGAUCUCCAAUGAAAUAAAAAUUCUAGUGUUUUUUUUAUUUGCUUAUUCAUUCAACACACAUUGACUGAAUACCUACUGUGUGCCAGUUUAGUACCAUGGCUGAGAAUGCGGGCUUUAAAAUCAGAUUGGCUGGAUUUAAUUCCCAGCUCCUCACUUGCUAGGCGUGUGAUCUUGAGCAAGUUACACAAUCUUUCUAUACCUCAGUUUUCUUUUCUAUGAAAUGCGGAUAUUGGUAGUACCUCAUUCAUAGGAUUCUUGUGAUGCUAAAGUAUGAUUUUAAAAUGUAAAGUCCUUAGCAGACUGCUUAGGGCAAGCCAAUUAGUAAUAUGUUGGCCAUCAUUAUUAUUAUGAGCCAGG
RNAcentral lists this long non-coding RNA (1331 nucleotides) under Homo sapiens (human). Its description in RNAcentral is "HSALNT0313912". The record is from RNAcentral. Lineage: Eukaryota; Metazoa; Chordata; Mammalia; Primates; Hominidae.